GACGAACGCUGGCGGCGUGCUUAACACAUGCAAGUCGAACGGAAAGGCCCUGCUUUUGCGGGGUGCUCGAGUGGCGAACGGGUGUGUAACACGUGAGUAACCUGCCCUUGACUUUGGGAUAACUUCAGGAAACUGGGGCUAAUACCGGAUAGGAGCUCCUGCUGCAUGGUGGGGGUUGGAAAGUUUCGGCGGUUGGGGAUGGACUCGCGGCUUAUCAGCUUGUUGGUGGGGUAGUGGCUUACCAAGGCUUUGACGGGUAGCCGGCCUGAGAGGGUGACCGGCCACAAGGGGACUGAGAUACGGCCCAGACGCGUACGGGAGGCAGCAGUGGGGAAUAUUGCACAGUGGGCGGAAGCCUGAGACGGCAGCGCCGGGUGCGGGAUGACCGCCUUCGGGUUGUAAACCGCUUUCGACUGUGACGAAGCGGGAGUGACGGUAAUGGGUAAAGAAGCACCGGCUAACUACGUG
RNAcentral lists this ribosomal RNA (468 nucleotides) under uncultured bacterium. Its description in RNAcentral is "partial 16S ribosomal RNA". It matches the Rfam family "Bacterial small subunit ribosomal RNA", at positions 28 to 507 of the family's 1533-position model. The record is from RNAcentral.